Molecule: long non-coding RNA, 245 nt
Organism: Symphalangus syndactylus (siamang)
Lineage: Eukaryota; Metazoa; Chordata; Mammalia; Primates; Hylobatidae
Source: RefSeq, a predicted model, not a curated record
CACAGAUUCUUUCUCUGUGCCACAUGGUGGUAUCAGCAAUUCAAUUCCUGCUCUCUUCAGUGCCUCUUUCAGUGUUAUGAAGUUAAACCACACACCAACAGACAUCUGCUCAUAGAAGUUGAUGCCAGAGAACUCACAGCAUAGAAGUGGAGCCCCCAGCAUUUGUGCAGAUCAUUGUGGCAACAAUGUGGAGAAUGCAUUUCAGAAGCAAAUAGUUAGAGGCGAUGGAACCAGUUAAGCAGCCG